UGUAAUGUGACCGUGAUAACGACAGUGAGGGGAGGCUGCAGGAGUCUAAUGUGACCGUGAUAACGACAGUGAGGGGAGUCUGCAGGAGUCUGUAAUGUGACCGUGAUAACGACAGUGAGGGGAGGCUGCAGGAGUCUAAUGUGACCGUGAUAACGACAGUGAGGGGAGGCUGCAGGAGUCUGUAAUGUGACCGUGAUAACGACAGUGAGCGGAGGCUGCAGGAGUCUGUAAUGUGAUAUGACCGUGAUAACGACAGUGAGGGAAGGCUGCAGGAGUCUGUAAUGUGAUAUGACCGUGAUAACGACAGUGAGGGAAGGCUGCAGGAGUCUGUAAUGUGACCGUGAUAAUGACAGUGAGGGGAGGCUGCAGGAGUCUGUAAUGUGACCGUGAUAAUGACAGUGAGGGGAGGCUGCAGGAGUCUGUAAUGUGACCGUGAUAACGACAGUGAGGGGAGGCUGCAGGAGUCUAAUGUGACCGUGAUAACGACAGUGAGGGGAGGCUGCAGGAGUCUGUAAUGUGAUGUGACCGUGAUAACGACAGUGAGGGGAGGCUGCAGGAGUCUGUGACCGUGAUAACGACAGUGAGGGGAGGCUGCAGGAGUCUGUAAUGUGACCGUGAUAACGACAGUGAGGGGAGGCUGCAGGAGUCUGUAAUGUGACCGUGAUAACGACAGUGAGGGGAGGCUGCAGGAGUCUGUAAUGUGAUGUGACCGUGAUAACGACAGUGAGGGGAGGCUGCAGGAGUCUGUGACCGUGAUAACGACAGUGAGGGGAGGCUGCAGGAGUCUGUAAUGUGAUAUGACCGUGAUAACGACAGUGAGGGAAGGCUGCAGGAGUCUGUAAUGUGAUAUGACCGUGAUAACGACAGUGAGGGAGGCUGCAGGAGUCUGUAAUGUGACCGUGAUAAUGACAGUGAGGGGAGGCUGCAGGAGUCUGUAAUGUGAUAUGACCGUGAUAACGACAGUGAGGGAAGGCUGCAGGAGUCUGUAAUGUGACCGUGAUAACGACAGUGAGGGGAGGCUGCAGGAGUCUGUAAUGUGACCGUGAUAACGACAGUGAGGG
Molecule: long non-coding RNA, 1061 nt
Organism: Oncorhynchus tshawytscha (Chinook salmon)
Lineage: Eukaryota; Metazoa; Chordata; Actinopteri; Salmoniformes; Salmonidae
Source: Ensembl